RNAcentral lists this ribosomal RNA (460 nucleotides) under uncultured bacterium. RNAcentral's name for it is "partial 16S ribosomal RNA". It matches the Rfam family "Bacterial small subunit ribosomal RNA", at positions 338 to 795 of the family's 1533-position model. The record is from RNAcentral.
CCUACGGGUGGCAGCAGUGAGGAAUAUUGGUCAAUGGACGAGAGUCUGAACCAGCCAAGUAGCGUGAAGGAUGACUGCCCUAUGGGUUGUAAACUUCUUUUAUAUGGGAAUAAAACGUUCCACGUGUGGGAUUUUGUAUGUACCAUAUGAAUAAGGAUCGGCUAACUCCGUGCCAGCAGCCGCGGUAAUACGGAGGAUCCGAGCGUUAUCCGGAUUUAUUGGGUUUAAAGGGAGAGUAGGUGGAUUGUUAAGUCAGUGGUGAAAGUUUGCGGCUCAACCGUAAAAUUGCAGUUGAAACUGGCAGUCGUGAGUACAGUAGAGGUGGGCGGAAUGCGUGGUGUAGCGGUGAAAUGCUUAGAUAUCACGAAGAACUCCGAUUGCGAAGGCAGCUCACUGGACUGCAACUGACACUGAGGCUCGAAAGUGUGGGUAUCAAACAGGAUUAGAUACCCCUGUAGUC